AGUUCGAUCAUGGCUCAGAUUGAACGCUGGCGGGAUGCUUUACACAUGCAAGUCGAACGGGCAGUAUCGACUUCGGUCUGGUGGCGAGUGGCGAAACGGUGAGUAAUGUAUCGGAACGUGCCUAGUAGCGGGGGAUAACUACGCGAGCUUUGAAGCAUACCGCAUGCCAUUCGGGGAAAGCGGGGACCUUCGCCUCGCACUAUUAGAGCGGCCGAUAUCGGAUUAGCUAGUUGGUGGGGUAACGGCUCACCAAGGCGACGAUCCGUAGCUGGUUUGAGAGGACGACCACACACUGGGACGAGACGGCCCAGACUCCUAUGGGCAGCAGUGUAAAUUUUGGGACAAUGGGGAAACUCCCUGAUCCAGCCAAUCCCGCGUGCGAUGAAGGCCUUCGGGUUGUGCAAGCACUUCGGAAAGAAACGGCGACGUGGGAUAAUACCCUUGUGCAACUGACGGUACCUGCAGAAUAAGCACCGGCUAACUACGUGCCAGCAGCUGCGGUAAUACGUAGGGUAAGCGUUAAUUGAAUUACUGGCGUAAGCGUGCGCAGGCGGUUCGGAAAGAAAGAUGUGAAAUCCCAGAGCUUAACUUUGGAACUGCAUUUUUAACUACCGAGCUUAGAGUGUGUCAGAGGGAGGAAUUCGCGUGCAGGAAUGCGGUAGAUAUGCGGAGAAUACCCGAUGGCGAAGGCGUACCUGGGAUAACACUGACGCUCAUGCAACGGCUGCGGGGAGCAAACAGAUUAGAUGCUCCUGGUAGUCCACGCCCUAAACGAUGUCAACUAGCCGCUGGGGCCUUCGCCUUCGGUAGCGCAGCUAACGGUGCGAAGUUGGACCGGGGAGCAUGGUCGCAAGAUUAAAACUCGUGCUGAAUUGACGGGGACCGCACAAGCGGUGGAUGAUGUGGAUUAAUUCGAUGCAACGCGAAAAACCUUACCUACUCCUGAUAUGUCUGAAUCCCGAAGAGAUUUGGGAGGCUCGCAAGAGAACCGGAACACAGGUGCUGCAUGCCAGUCGUCAGCUCGUGUCGAGAUGUUGCCAAGUCCCGCAACGAGCGCAACCCUUGUCAUUAGUUGUCAGAAAGGGCACUCUAAUGAGACUGCCGGUGACAAACCGAGGAAGGUGGGGAUGACGUCAUCCCUUAUGGCUCCUUAUGGGUAGGGCUUCACACGUCAUACAAUGGUCGGGACAGAGGGUCGCCAACCCGCGAGGGGAGCCAAUCCCAGAAACCCGAUCGCGGUCCGGAUCGCAGUCUGCAACUCGACUGCGUGAAGUCGGAAUCGCUAGUAAUCGCGGAUCAGCAUGUCGCGGUGAAUACGUUCCCGGGUCUUGUACACACCGCCCGUCACACCAUGUGGGGAGUGGGUUUUACCAGAAGUGCUUAGCCUAACCGUAAGGAGGGUGAUUACCACGGUAGGAUUCAUGAUCAGGUGAAGUCAACAAGGUAG
This 1447-nucleotide ribosomal RNA is filed under the name uncultured Bordetella sp. RNAcentral's name for it is "partial 16S-23S ribosomal RNA intergenic spacer". It matches the Rfam family "Bacterial small subunit ribosomal RNA". The record is from RNAcentral. Lineage: Bacteria; Pseudomonadati; Pseudomonadota; Betaproteobacteria; Burkholderiales; Alcaligenaceae.